Molecule: ribosomal RNA, 344 nt
Filed under: uncultured Sphingobacteriales bacterium
Lineage: Bacteria; Pseudomonadati; Bacteroidota; Sphingobacteriia; Sphingobacteriales
Description: bacterial SSU rRNA
Rfam family: Bacterial small subunit ribosomal RNA
Source: RNAcentral
UGCCGCAUGGUUGUCGUCAGCUCGUGCCGUGAGGUGUCGGGUUAAGUCCCAUAACGAGCGCAACCCCUAUCAUUAGUUGCCAUCAGGUCAAGCUGGGGACUCUAAUGAAACUGCCUACGCAAGUAGUGAGGAAGGUGGGGAUGACGUCAAAUCAGCACGGCCCUUACGUCCAGGGCUACACACGUGCUACAAUGGCCGGUACAAAGGGCAGCUACCUGGUGACAGGAUGCUAAUCUCAAAAGCCGGUCUCAGUUCGGAUCGGAGUCUGCAACCCGACUCCGUGGAGCUGGAAUCGCUAGUAAUCGCGCAUCAGCCAUGGCGCGGUGAAUACGUUCCCGGGCCUU